Molecule: ribosomal RNA, 446 nt
Filed under: uncultured bacterium
Lineage: Bacteria
Description: partial 16S ribosomal RNA
Rfam family: Bacterial small subunit ribosomal RNA
Source: RNAcentral
AACGAACGCUGGCGGCGGGCUUAACACAUGCAAGCCGAACGCCCCGCAAGGGGAGUGGCAGACGGGUGAGUAACGCGUGGGAACGUGCCCUUCGCUUCGGAAUAGCCCCGGGAAACUGGGAGUAAUACCGAAUACGCCGUAUUGGGAAAGAUUUAUCGGCGAAGGAUCGGCCCGCGUUAGAUUAGCUAGUUGGCGGUGUAAUGGACCACCAAGGCUACGAUCUAUAGCUGGUCUGAGAGGAUGAUCAGCCACACUGGGACUGAGACACGGCCCAGACUCCUACGGGAGGCAGCAGUGGGGAAUCUUGGACAAUGGGCGCAAGCCUGAUCCAGCCAUGCCGCGUGAGUGAAGAAGGCCUUAGGGUUGUAAAACUCUUUCGCCGGAGAAGAUAAUGACGGUAUCCGGAGAAGAAGCCCCGGCUAACUUCGUGCCAGCCGCCGCAGUAA